UUGUGAUAAGCUUCCGGUACUUGCUUCAUGCACUUACCUUCUUGCUUAAUCCAGCCACGGGAAAGUAAAGCGGCGGCGUGUUUCACGCAGUUUGCUUCACAUAAUAUUGCAAGGGUGUCGUAGUGUCAGCAGCCGCUGGCUCACGAUUUCUCCCGCUGUUUCAUUCUGUGACUCGAUGCCUCCUCGGCGCAUUGAAGCCUCGAGGCGACACGAAUUCACGGAGAUCUCAUGAGUGAGGAAGUGG
Long non-coding RNA from Ornithodoros turicata, 244 nucleotides. RefSeq lists it as uncharacterized. The record is from RefSeq and is a predicted model, not a curated record. NCBI's taxonomy places the organism in Eukaryota, Metazoa, Arthropoda, Arachnida, Ixodida, Argasidae. The transcript is spliced from 3 exons.